This is a long non-coding RNA of Lytechinus pictus (painted urchin), 279 nucleotides long. RefSeq lists it as uncharacterized. The record is from RefSeq and is a predicted model, not a curated record. NCBI's taxonomy places the organism in Eukaryota, Metazoa, Echinodermata, Echinoidea, Temnopleuroida, Toxopneustidae. The transcript is spliced from 3 exons.
ACGAGGUUGAUAUGUCCCCAUUUGAAAUUGAGCAUUCGAUGUUCAUUCCUUAAAGAUGUGCUGGGAAAUAAUCUCCUCGGUAUUGAUCAUCUCUACUUUGCAAUUGAGUUCAGAAAUAGCCUCUGGAUGCAUUCAGUCAUCAGUGACCGAUACCUCUCGGAACUCAGAAAUGUCAGUUACCAGCCUAUCAUGUGGUUCUAUCGUUGGACCUAUGAAGGAGGUCAUUGGACUCGUACCUCGUCUUCUUGACCGCCAACCCCUUUCGAACAUUUUCGGUGG